AGCAUGUGGUUUAAUUCGAUGAUACGCGAGGACCUUACCUGGGCUCGAACGUAAGAUGACUGUAGGUGAAAGCUUACAUCUCUUCGGAGCAUUUUUACGAGGUGCUGCAUGGUUGUCGUCAGCUCGUGCCGUGAGGUGUCGGUUAAGUCCCAUAACGAGCGCAACCCUACCUUUAGUUGCCAUCAGGUAAUGCUGGGGACUCUAAAGGAACUGCCUACGCAAGUAGUGAGGAAGCGGGGAUGACGUCAAAUCAGCACGGCCCUUACGUCCAGGGCUACACACGUGCUACAAUGGCCGAUACAGAGGGCAGCUACCUGGUGACAGGAUGCAAAUCUCCAAAGUCGGUCUCAGUUCGGAUCGGAGUCUGCAACCCGACUCCGUGAAGUUGGAUUCGCUAGUAAUCGCGCAUCAGCCAUGGCGCGGUGAAUACGUUCCCGGGCCUU
RNAcentral lists this ribosomal RNA (443 nucleotides) under uncultured Sphingobacteriales bacterium. Its description in RNAcentral is "bacterial SSU rRNA". It matches the Rfam family "Bacterial small subunit ribosomal RNA", at positions 936 to 1382 of the family's 1533-position model. The record is from RNAcentral. Lineage: Bacteria; Pseudomonadati; Bacteroidota; Sphingobacteriia; Sphingobacteriales.